CCAAAAUAUUCCUCCCUCGAGUUCUUCGUCGUUCUGAGAAGACGCUGGAUCCGUUCUGUUUGCCAUGGGAAUGUUCCUCACGGAUUUGGGGUUUGGUUUGGUUAUCGAUCGUCAUUGGAAUGCUCGAAUUAUUUCUCUGAUCCAUCGGUGCUGAAAAACUUAAUAUCAUGAGCCUCAAUGAGUUACAUUGAAGGAAUGAGGAGGUGCGUUCUAUAUAAAGGUAACCUGAUUUUUCCAAGGCAUAGCACGCUCAAGCGCCACAUUUCCAAGGCAUCUACCUCCAUCUUCCCUCUGUUGAAUUCUCAGGCACAGUAAUUCCAGGUUGUCAGAAUGGCUUCUACAGUGCUGCAUAUCUCUGGGCAAGCCCCACAGUCUCCUGCAAUCCUCAGCUUGAAAGAAUUUCAGCUCAAAAAUGGUAUUGGACCAUGGAUGGCACGAGUUCGAAUCGUUCGAAUGUGGCACGAGCUGGACUUCAUGAGAACUAAUGAUGUUACUAGCCUCGAUUUGCUCCUUCUAGAUGACGAUGAUGAUAUGAUACACACAAUUGUUCAGAAAAAAUACAUCUGGAAAUUUGAACCCCUGCUAGAAGAGGGAAUACUACUGGGUCUUCGUAUCUCAGGAUGAUAUCAUACACGCAAUUGUUCAGAAAAAAUACAUCUGGAAAUUUGAACCCCUGCUAGAAGAGGGAAUACUACUGGGUCUUACCAAUUUGGCAUUUGCACCAGAGAAAAAAAUGUUCCGCUCCUGACAGAAUGACUACCGUGCAUACUUUAACUGGAAUACUGAUGUUACUCCUCUUGAGUCCACCACCGCACCCAUUCCUGGCCACAAGUUCUUUUUCACAGAAUUUGAAGCACUUGCAGUUGCUGCCACCAAUACCUACCUUAUUGGUGACUACAGCGAAAAUUAAAGUUAUAGUUUCCCACCCACGUAAAUUGCUAAACUAAUAUUCCCUCGCUGUUGUGUGUGCAGAUG
Molecule: long non-coding RNA, 975 nt
Organism: Papaver somniferum (opium poppy)
Lineage: Eukaryota; Viridiplantae; Streptophyta; Magnoliopsida; Ranunculales; Papaveraceae
Exons: 4
Source: RefSeq, a predicted model, not a curated record